This 2048-nucleotide long non-coding RNA is filed under the name Salmo salar (Atlantic salmon). RNAcentral's name for it is "lncRNA (ENSSSAG00000108688.1)". The record is from RNAcentral. Lineage: Eukaryota; Metazoa; Chordata; Actinopteri; Salmoniformes; Salmonidae.
AAUAACCAGGCUGUAUUAUACCAACGCAGUGGAGAUAAUUACUGGUCCUGAAAGGAACAAUUGAGGCUAUAUUGACAUGGAAACAUCUGUUAUUAAACAUGAUUUAUUCAAGAUGUCUUGUAUAGCUACUCAUGGUGUCCAUGUUCAACAGCUAGGUCAUCUGAUGACUGAAGGUUCAGUGUCAUUAAGCUAUGUAUUGUUUUGUAGUGUGUGUGUGUGUGUGUGUGUGUGUGUGUGUGUGUGUGUGUGUGUGUGUGUGUGUGUGUGUGUGUGUGUGUGUGUGUGUGGCAUCAGAGACAUUCUAUUAUAUGUGUGUAAUCCCAAAGGUCUCUCUACAGUACUGCUAAACAAGAUACCCCUUAUUCAGACACCCCAAGACCUGAAAAUAUGCCUGCUGUGGCAUACAAAAAAAAAACGACUGCAGAAAUUUGACUACGAAAUCUCAACUGAAUUUUCUGUGUUUGCAGAUAUACCAUCUUCUCAAGCCAGAAAAACAAAAGAAACACAGAGAAAUAAUUUGAGUGAGAGAGAUCAGUAGCUGUGUGGGCCUGGACAAGGAGAACAGAUGCUGAGGUUCCAAUGGAGAUGCAGUGGAAGCAUCAAGCAUCAUGUCCCGUGCAGACCAAACCAGACACACAGAGAUGUAAAGCCGUCCACUGUUCUUGUAAUAAAGGUCAAUAGAAAUACCCCACCACAGUCAAGAGGAUUCAGUUCUCCAAUCUACUGAUUAUCACCAAAUGUUUGUGUGGUCAGGUAAGUGGGAGUCUUAACAAGGGAAAGGCACAUUUAUAAGUGUAAAAAAAGUAAUAUAUUUUUUGGAAUAGUUUCAUUAGGUCUUAAUGAAAGAUUUUGAAACCAAUUUUAGGGGGAUAUUGGUUGAGAUCCCAAGGGAUCCUUUGCCGUUUCUAUUUCAGAGUAAAGCUUUUAAAUGUAAAAUCCUUGAUUUGCUCUAGUCUUUGUAUGCGUUUGCACUUCAGCUUCAUUCCCUAACCUAUAAUUUUCAUAUCAUUGAUCGUAAUAACUAUUUUUUAUGUAAAAAAUUAAAGACUGCUACAUGUUUCAGUGUCUUGUGGUACAAAAUUAAAAUAAAGUGAACUUAAUUGAAAAAAGAAAAGCUGCCUCAGUAGUUUUAUUUUUGUUUUUCCAUUUAAAUUAAUCAAAUGAAAGUUUAUCAAUGACCAUACACUGCAUAUUGUAGGUACCAAUGUAGGAUUCUAAUUUGAGCCAGUUUGCUACAGCAAGAAAAUAAUGCUGCAGCAACAGGAAAUUAUUAUGUGGAUUAUAAUUGAACACAACAUUUUUGUAGGGGUUGAUACAUGUGUAAUGUUAGGUCAAAUCAAAGUGGAAACUACAAACUUUAGAAGCAGUGCAGGAAAAUUCGCAUCAACAAAAGAGUGAUCAAAUUAAGAUCCUACAUCUGUAUACAAUAUGAACGUGGGUAAUUUCACACAGGAGGUCCAACAUUUGAAACAGCUAUUCAGAUCAUCUCAGAGUUAUCUUGAAGGACCAGAAAGGAGACAGUUAAACCAAGUGGCCUACGUCUUUGGUGCCAAUUAGGUCCCUGUGUAUGAGAGCAAAGUGGGUGUGGAAGGAAGCUGCUGGAGCUGAAGAAGGAGCUACACACAGGCCUUGUUUUUUAGUGAUCACGCCUCCUAUUGUUUUCCCACAACAGCCGGUUCAUGCGAUGCCCCAAAACCCCCAGUGCGCUUCAGUGCUCUGGCUGAAAUGGGCUCUCUGUUCCCUGCACUGGGCUGCCCGCCUAGCUCCUGCCUCGCCCUGACUGGUAAUGACCUGAAAUUAGGGCCAAGCCAGGAGGGGAGGCCCUGGGCCCUGGUCUGAAAGAAAGGAGGAGAUUAUCCCAUUCUGCCCGGCCAGUCAGCAGUGGUGGUAUUGACCAGGGCCCACCCAGGGAGGGUCCAGUGAGCCGUGAGAUGGCCUGAUAUACAUGCUUAUUGAGCUGGACAGAUUCCCUCACUCUCACCAGGGAUAAACCAAACCGUACAAGACACUUUCUUAAACACUGCUCUGGAGAUUAUAGGAGUGACCCC